CCUCGGGUCUCCUCACGUUACCACCAGCAUAAAGCCGAUUCUACUGCAAGGCCAUGAGCAGUCCAUUAUACAGAUCACGUGCAACCGCGAGGGAGACCUUCACCGUGGCCAAGGACCCUACUGUCAAUGUAUGGUACUCCGUGAAUGGGGAGAGGCUGGGCACCUACAAUGGCUACACUGGAGCUGUGUAGUGUGUGGACGCAGAAUGGGACACCAAGCAUGUCCUGACGGGCUCAGUUGGCAACAGCUGUGGUCUCUGGGACUGUGAAACAGGGAAGCAGCUGGCUCUACUCAAAACCAACUCCGCUGUCCAUACCUGUGGCUUUGACUUUGGGGGUAACAUCAUUAUGUUCUCCAUGGACAAGCAGAUGGGCUAUCAGUGCUUUGUGAGCUUCUUCGAUCAAUGGGACCCAAGCCAGAUCGACAGCAAUGAGCCCUACAUGAAGAUCCCUUACAGUGAUUCCAAGAUCACUAGUGCUGUUUGGGGACCCUUAGGAGAAUGCAUCAUUGCAGGCCAUGAGAGCAGAGAGCUCAACCAGUUCAGUGCCAAGUCUGGAGAGGUGUUGGUGAAUAUUAAGGAGCACUCCUGGCAAAUCAAUGACAUCCAGUUAUCCAGAGAUAUGACCAUGUUUGUUAUUGCAUCCAAGGACAACACAUCUAUGCUCUUUGAUUCCACAACCCUUGAACACCAGAAGACUUUCCGGACAGAACAUCCUGUCAACUCAGCUGUCCUUUCUCCCAACUAUGAUCACGUGGUGCUAGGUGGUGGUCAAGAAGCGAUGGAUGUAACCACAACCUGUACCAGGAUUGGCAAGUUUGAAGCCAGGUUUUUCCACUUGGCCAUUGAAGAAAAAUUUGGAAGGGUCAAGGGUCACUUUGGACCUAUCAACAGUGUUGCCUUCCAUCCUGAUGGCAAGAGUUACAGCAGCGGUGGUGAAGAUGGCUACUUACGCGUUCACUACUUCGACCCACAGUACUUUGAGUUUGAAAUUGAAGCUCAAGGAACUGGAUCUCCAUCUGAGUUGCUCACAGAAGGUCAGAAUUCUCUCAUGGGUUCUACUGAGCUCAAAUCAAACUGUCGGCAACUCUGUGUUCCUUUUGAGGCUUUAGAGGAGAAUUGCCUCUAA
Chrysochloris asiatica (Cape golden mole) is the source of this 1127-nucleotide RNA transcript. It is a transcript of the gene named eukaryotic translation initiation factor 3 subunit I-like, with no coding region annotated. The record is from RefSeq and is a predicted model, not a curated record. Lineage: Eukaryota; Metazoa; Chordata; Mammalia; Afrosoricida; Chrysochloridae. The transcript has 2 exons.